UGGUGCUCCUCAAUUUCUCUGAUCCAGUCAUCUGAAAACUCGGUCAGAAUGCCUUAGCCGCCGACUCUAGCAAUGACGUCUAGGGAUCCGACAAGUUGAUCCGGAGCCAGAUCAUUUGACAGGUUUGCAAUUUUUUUUCUUUAUUAUUAAGAAGUAUAUGUUACAAAACAUAUCUUCAACAUAAUAAUUUAGUGAUUAAUGAUGAUUUGUGGUUGAGAUGAUAGGGAAAUUGCAUAAGUAUUUGAUUUGAACUCUUAUUGUGGUUUGUUUUGUUUAGUAUUUACAGAAAGCCCUAAUUCGACCGAAUUGUUAUGUUAUUUCAGACAUCAAUGCACAUGACUAUUUCGAAUUUUGAUUCUUCUUUUUAUCAUUUCAUAUAUGUAUUUAACAGGUAUGUUAUUUAUACUUUGCAACAAACCGGUUUUAAUUUUUGUAAAGAAAUAUAUAUAUAAUUUUGUACCAAGAAUGAUGGUUUGAACGGUGAGUAUUGGUGAAACAUGUAUUUUGUAGAUGAACUGGUUAAAUUCUUAUUACUAGAUUUAAUUGAAUACGUGCAUACCACAUGCUCGAUGAAAUGCCCGUGAGAGGAUUUGAUAUGACUUUGGUGCAUAAAAAUGUUUCAAACCUUAUAAUUUAAUGUACACUACAUUAAUGAUAUUUUUUCUUGAUAUGAAUGAACAAUCAAAUUUCAACUCAUCCCCACCAAUGCGUUCAUCUUCACUUGACAACCCUGCUUACAAUAUUAAUGAGUUGUGUUUUAACCUUUAAUUAAUGAGUUGUUAAAUUACAACUACAAUAUCUACUUGACUACUUCAGCCGAUGAGGCCUGGAUCAAUUGGUUUGGAAGGAGACACCCAAUGGCCUUUCAAUACAAAGGUUCUAGGUUGAAUUUAGCAUGCCAGGGUGGAGAGGAGGAUCUGAUUUUGAACCAUUAG
This 935-nucleotide long non-coding RNA is filed under the name Helianthus annuus (common sunflower). RNAcentral describes it as "sRNA HanXRQr2_Chr17g0813361". The record is from RNAcentral. Lineage: Eukaryota; Viridiplantae; Streptophyta; Magnoliopsida; Asterales; Asteraceae.